This 487-nucleotide ribosomal RNA is filed under the name uncultured bacterium. Its description in RNAcentral is "partial 16S ribosomal RNA". It matches the Rfam family "Bacterial small subunit ribosomal RNA", at positions 27 to 507 of the family's 1533-position model. The record is from RNAcentral.
GGACGAACGCUGGCGGCGUGCUUAACCCAUGCAAGUCGAACGCUGAAGACCUGGCUUUUGUUGGGUUGGAUGAGUGGCGAACGGGUGAGUAACACGUGAGUAACCUGCCCUCUUCUUUGGGAUAACGCCCGGAAACGGGUGCUAAUACUGGAUAUUCACUGAUCUUCGCAUGGGGGUUGGUGGAAAGGUUUGUUCUGGUGGGGGUUGGGCUCGCGGCCUAUCAGCUUGUUGGUGGGGUGAUGGCCUACCAAGGCUUUGACGGGUAGCCGGCCUGAGAGGGGGACCGGUCACGUUGGGACUGAGAUACGGCCCAGACUCCUACGGGAGGCAGCAGUGGGGGAUAGUGCACGAUGGGCGAAAGCCUGAUGCAGCGACGCCGCGUGAGGGAUGGAGGCCUUCGGGUUGUAAACCUCUUUCGCUCAUGGUCAAGCCGCAACUGGGGGUUGUGGUGAGGGUAGUGGGUAAAGAAGCGCCGGCUAACUACGUG